Molecule: ribosomal RNA, 502 nt
Filed under: uncultured bacterium
Lineage: Bacteria
Description: partial 16S ribosomal RNA
Rfam family: Bacterial small subunit ribosomal RNA
Source: RNAcentral
GUUGAACGCUGGCGGCAUGCCUUACACAUGCAAGUCGAACGGCAGCACGGGUGCUUGCACCUGGUGGCGAGUGGCGAACGGGUGAGUAAUACAUCGGAACAUGUCCUGUAGUGGGGGAUAGCCCGGCGAAAGCCGGCUUAAUACCGCAUACGAUCUACGGAUGAAAGCGGGGGACCUUCGGGCCUCGCGCUAUAGGGUUGGCCGACGGCUGAUUAGCUAGUUGGUGGGGUAAAGGCCUACCAAGGCGACGAUCAGUAGCUGGUCUGAGAGGACGACCAGCCACACUGGGACUGAGACACGGCCCAGACUCCUACGGGAGGCAGCAGUGGGGAAUUUUGGACAAUGGGAGAAAGCCUGAUCCAGCAAUGCCGCGUGUGUGAAGAAGGCCUUCGGGUUGUAAAGCACUUUUGUCCGGAAAGAAAUCCUUGGCUCUAAUACAGUCGGGGGAUGACGGUACCGGAAGAAUAAGCACCGGCUAACUACGUGCCAGCCGCCGCCGUAA